This 497-nucleotide ribosomal RNA is filed under the name uncultured bacterium. RNAcentral's name for it is "partial 16S ribosomal RNA". It matches the Rfam family "Bacterial small subunit ribosomal RNA", at positions 28 to 507 of the family's 1533-position model. The record is from RNAcentral.
GAUGAACGCUGGCGGCGGGCCUAACACAUGCAAGUCGAGCGGAAGCACGAUAAGAUUGUUUCUCUGAUGUUGGCGGGGGACGGGCGAGUGAGACGUACAUAACCUCCCUAUAAGACUGGGAUGACAACGGGAAACCGGAGCUAAUACUAGUGCAUAUUUUCAACCGCAGAGUGCAAACGAGAAAGACGGUAUUGCUGUCAGUUAUAGAUGGAUCCGCGCUGCAUUAGCUAGUUGGUAAGGUAACGGCUCACCAAGGCAACGAUCCGUAGCCGACCUGAGAGGAUGAUCAGCCACACUGGAACUGAGACACGGUCCAGACUCCUACGGGAGGCAGCAGUGGGGAAUCUUCCACAAUGGGCGAAAGCCUGACGGAGCCACGCCGCGUGGGUGAUGAAGGUCUUCGGAUCGUAAAACUCUGUUAUUUGGAAAGAACAUAUGUGUGAGUAACUGUGGACUUUUUGACGGUACCUAAUCAAUAAGCCCCGGCUAACUACGUG